RNAcentral lists this ribosomal RNA (445 nucleotides) under uncultured bacterium. RNAcentral's name for it is "bacterial SSU rRNA". It matches the Rfam family "Bacterial small subunit ribosomal RNA", at positions 354 to 796 of the family's 1533-position model. The record is from RNAcentral.
GUAGGGAAUAUUGGGCAAUGGAGGCAACUCUGACCCAGCCAUGCCGCGUGCAGGAUGACGGCCCUCUGGGUUGUAAACUGCUUUUAUACGGGAAGAAAAAAUACUACGUGUAGUAUACUGACGGUACCGUAAGAAUAAGGAUCGGCUAACUCCGUGCCAGCAGCCGCGGUAAUACGGAGGAUCCAAGCGUUGUCCGGAUUUAUUGGGUUUAAAGGGUGCGUAGGCGGAUCUUUAAGUCAGUGGUGAAAGCCUGCAGCUUAACUGUAGAAUUGCCAUUGAAACUGAAGAUCUUGAAUGUGGUUAAAGUAGGCGGAAUGUAUCAUGUAGCGGUGAAAUGCUUAGAUAUGAUACAGAACACCGAUAGCGAAGGCAGCUUGCUGAACCAUUAUUGACGCUGAGGCACGAAAGCGUGGGGAGCGAACAGGAUUAGAUACCCCUGUAGUCC